RNAcentral lists this long non-coding RNA (1919 nucleotides) under Pan troglodytes (chimpanzee). Its description in RNAcentral is "long non-coding RNA NONPTRT008635". Lineage: Eukaryota; Metazoa; Chordata; Mammalia; Primates; Hominidae. The record is from RNAcentral.
GCAGGUAGGAGCUGCUGGGACCCCCGCCCUCAGCCCAUCCGCAUCCGCAUCCCUAGAGGAAAGGGGUGUGGGAGUGGGGGCUGGGGCACUGGGGAGACAACCAGAGGGAGGGCAGCAGCCUGAAGCGGAGAGACAGGGAUCUGGGGACGCGAGACAGGUAUGGAGAAGACAAAGAGCCGAGGGCGGGGAGUGAGGCGCAGGCGGAGGGGAGAGGGAGAGACCCUGGAGACAGAGGCCAGGCGAUAGGGAAGAGAGACAGGCGGGUUGGGGAGGCAGACACAGGGAAGACGCCUAUGUGGGGUCAAGAGACAGCGUGGAGACCGAGGCGGUCACGAGAGCAGCACGGAUGCGUGGAGAGACCAACAGGCCAAGAAGGAUGAGGGGGCUCAGCACAGGCACCGGGCAGCCCCCGACCCGCCCUCCAGCAAAACUGGGGAGAGGGAAGAGGGAACGUGCGUCUCAGCUCCCAGGACCAGGUGCGGAGGGAGCAGUCGGCUGUGGGCGCUCGGACCACAGGCUGCCCCCUCCCCACCUCGCGGGACCUCAGGAUCCCAGUCGGGCUAUUGGGGGGUUCCCAGGCACCGGUGGGCCCCGGAGCGAGCCUGCCCCGCCGGGACUCCGCGUCUGUGCGUCAGCCCCGCCCGUUGUCCUGGCAACAACCCGUUGCCCGGGCAACCAGCUUUGCUCUCACCCCGCUUGAGAGGAGCCCGGCUGUUGCUCUGGGCAACGCGGUCUGCUGGUUCCCACGCCUGCCUUCGCCCGCUUCCGGUUCAGACCCUGCGGAGGGGCGAGGACGAGGCAGAAGUCAGCGGGAUGCCUGUGGGGCCGUGGAGGAAGAGGGUAUCCCUUUGGGAUGGAACUAGGUCCUGGACACCCCCUCUCAAGUGCGGGGAGGCUGAUACUACAACUCCCAGCAUGACUCGCGGUGGCUCUCUGGUUUCUACGCGGCUGUUCGCGCAAGGGCCUCAUGGGAGUUGGAGUUCUUUGUUGUGCAUGGGGCUCAAAGGACGUCUGGGGUGGGAAUGGGGGACUAGGGUGCUUGAGUGUCUCUGCAGAAAAGACUCUAGGACCCCGCCACCAUGUUCCCGGAGCCCCCAACCCCGGGGCCUCCAUCGCCCGACACGCCUCCCGACUCCAGUCGCAUCAGCCACGGCCCAGUGCCCCCCUGGGCCCUGGCCACCAUCGUGCUGGUCUCAGGCCUCCUCAUCUUCAGCUGCUGUUUCUGUCUCUACCGGAAGAGCUGUCGGAGGCGGACAGGCAAGAAGAGCCAGGCCCAAGCCCAGGUCCACCUUCAGGAAGUGAAGGGGCUGGGCCAGAGUUACAUAGACAAGGUGUGGCCCAGCCCAGCCCCUCCACCUGGCCCCUUCUCGCACCCUGCUCCUCUCAAUGGCCCAGCUGGUCCCAGUCCCUGCUCCCUUCCGUCCUAUAGGAACCCACCUUACUGGCUCAUCCUCCCUGUGUGUCUAGCCCUCAACUGGACUCUGGGGACCCGGAGAUGGAACAGAAGUAGUUGCUAUUCCCAAGAACUUCCCAGUCUGGUGGGAGAGUCAGGCACUGACACAGACACUCACCACACAGGGUAAUAUGUGCCAUACUACAGGGUCUCAUAGGAGCACAGAAAAGGCAUCCCACUGUAUAGAAACCUACAGAAACAUAUAAAUAUUUGGCUCUGGGCCGGGUGCGGUGGCUCACGCCUGUAAUCCUAGCACUUGGGAGGCUGAGGUGGACAGAUUGCCUGAGGUCAUGAAUUCAAGACUAGCCUGGGCAACAUGAUGAAACCCUGUCUCUACUAAAAAUACAAAAGCCAGCCAUGGUGGCAUGGUAUAAUCCCAGCUACUCGAGAGGCUGAGGCACUGAAACCGGGAGGUGGAGGCUGCAGUGAGCUGUGAUCGUGCCACUGCACUCCAGCCUGGGUGACA